AACGUAGGUUCCGAGCGUUAUCCGGAUUUACUGGGCGUAAAGCGCGUUCAGGCGGUUUGGCAAGUCGGGCAUGAAAUCUCUCGGCUCAACCGGGAGAGGUUGUCCGAUACUGCUGGGCUUGAGGGCAGUAGAGGGUGGUGGAAUUCCGGGUGUAGUGGUGAAAUGCGUAGAUAUCCGGAGGAACACCAGUGGCGAAAGCGGCCACCUGGACUGCACCUGACGCUGACACGCGAAAGCUAGGGGAGCGAACGGG
Molecule: ribosomal RNA, 253 nt
Filed under: uncultured bacterium
Lineage: Bacteria
Description: partial 16S ribosomal RNA
Rfam family: Bacterial small subunit ribosomal RNA
Source: RNAcentral